GUCCUGUAUUUAUCUAUAGAGCAGGUACAGCGUGGGCAGCGCCAGAGAGCCCUUCCCUACCCUGCCCCGCCCACGCGCCUCCACCCAGGCCUGGAGAGACCAGCUGUAGGGUAAGCGAGGAGC
Unclassified non-coding RNA from Cavia aperea (Brazilian guinea pig), 123 nucleotides. The record is from Ensembl. Lineage: Eukaryota; Metazoa; Chordata; Mammalia; Rodentia; Caviidae.